Astyanax mexicanus (Mexican tetra) is the source of this 914-nucleotide long non-coding RNA. RefSeq lists it as uncharacterized. The transcript has 2 exons. The record is from RefSeq and is a predicted model, not a curated record. Lineage: Eukaryota; Metazoa; Chordata; Actinopteri; Characiformes; Acestrorhamphidae.
AGAAUUAUUACACAACCCUUCUAACUUCUGCUUUUUUUCUCUUCCUUUCCUUUCUGUUUUCUCUAUCUAUCUCUUUUACAUGUAUGGAGAUGCUGUUCCUGCUCUGCUCCCUGCUCUGCUCCCUGCUCUGCUCCCUGCUCUGCUCUCUGGUCUGCUGCUGUGCUGGUCUGCUGCUGUGCUGCUCUGCUGCUGAAAGCUUGCUUUAAUCUUCAGCUUCUACACUUUUCUCUGUUUUCUUCUCUUUUACUCUCUUCACACUUACUAAUCCACUUUUAGUCUGCUUCCUCUUUGCUCUACACACCUAUUAAUCCACUCUCAGUCUACUUUUAUAGACUUUUUCCUCAGGUUUGCUGGAUUAGCUGUUUGCUGCUGCAGUUUGUUUGUGUAAGUUUCUAAUUUCAACUGAAACAAGUUACUGACUGCCCACCUGUCUGACCCGAUACCGAUGUUGGACCCUCAGGCUCUCGCGUCUCCUGUCCAGCCAGACUGAUGGAAGUUUCUGAAGUCAGCUCUUCUCCACCACCACCACAGAUCAGCUGCUCAUCGACCAUCUUACUCUCCACUACAGAUUACAUCCAAGCCAUUAGUGGCGCUAUUACACUCCUGAGUACAUAAAACCUAUAUGGAUGUAUAAAAGACUUUUUAAAUUUUAAUUUAAAAGCCGUUUGACCAGUGGUAGGAUGGUCCCCCCUUUAAUGUGAGUCUUGGUCCUCCCAAGGUUUCUUCCUCCUCCUGCAGCUCUGAGGGAGUUUUUCCUUGCCUCCGCGCUCACUGGGGGUUCUGUAUUAUGUAUAUUCUAUGUUUAAUGUUUUGCCUGAUUCUUUGUCCUGUAAUCAUGUUUCUGUAAAGCUGCUUUGUGCCAACACCUGUUGUAAAAAGCGCUAUACAAAUAAAUUUGAUUUGAUUUGAUUUGA